GAUGAACGCUGGCGGCGUGCUUAACACAUGCAAGUCGAACGAGGUACCCUUGACAGAGGCUUCGGCCAAUUGAUAGGAAUACCUAGUGGCGGACGGGUGAGUAACGCGUGAGGAACCUGCCUUGGAGUGGGGAAUAACAGUUAGAAAUAGCUGCUAAUACCGCAUAAUGCAACUAAGUCGCAUGGCUUUGGUUGCCAAAGAUUUAUCGCUCUAAGAUGGCCUCGCGUCUGAUUAGAUAGUUGGCGGGGUAACGGCCCACCAAGUCGACGAUCAGUAGCCGGACUGAGAGGUUGGCCGGCCACAUUGGGACUGAGACACGGCCCAGACUCCUACGGGAGGCAGCAGUGGGGAAUAUUGGGCAAUGGGCGCAAGCCUGACCCAGCAACGCCGCGUGAAGGAAGAAGGCCCUCGGGUUGUAAACUUCUUUUAUUCGGGACGAAACAAAUGACGGUACCGAAUGAAUAAGCCACGGCUAACUACGUGCCAGCAGCCGCGGUAAUACGUAGGUGGCAAGCGUUAUCCGGAUUUACUGGGUGUAAAGGGCGUGUAGGCGGGAGAGCAAGUCAGACGUGAAAUUCCAGGGCUCAACCCUGGAACUGCGUUUGAAACUGUUCUUCUUGAGUGAUGGAGAGGCAGGCGGAAUUCCGUGUGUAGCGGCGAAAUGCGUAGAUAUACGGAGGAACACCAGUGGCGAAGGCGGCCUGCUGGACAUUAACUGACGCUGAGGCGCGAAAGCGUGGGGAGCAAACAGGAUUAGAUACCCUGGUAGUCCACGCUGUAAACGAUGGAUACUAGGUGUGGGGGGUCUGACCCCCUCCGUGCCGCAGCUAACGCAAUAAGUAUCCCACCUGGGGAGUACGAUCGCAAGGUUGAAACUCAAAGGAAUUGACGGGGGCCCGCACAAGCGGUGGAGUAUGUGGUUUAAUUCGAAGCAACGCGAAGAACCUUACCAGGGCUUGACAUCCCGCUGACCGGUGUAGAGAUACACUUUUCCCUUCGGGGACAGCGGUGACAGGUGGUGCAUGGUUGUCGUCAGCUCGUGUCGUGAGAUGUUGGGUUAAGUCCCGCAACGAGCGCAACCCUUAUUGUUAGUUGCUACGCAAGAGCACUCUAACGAGACUGCCGUUGACAAAACGGAGGAAGGUGGGGACGACGUCAAAUCAUCAUGCCCCUUAUGUCCUGGGCCACACACGUACUACAAUGGCGGUCAACAAAGAGAGGCAAAACCGCGAGGUGGAGCAAAUCUCAAAAAGCCGUCCCAGUUCGGAUUGCAGGCUGCAACCCGCCUGCAUGAAGUUGGAAUCGCUAGUAAUCGCGGAUCAGCAUGCCGCGGUGAAUACGUUCCCGGGCCU
Molecule: ribosomal RNA, 1352 nt
Filed under: uncultured bacterium
Lineage: Bacteria
Description: bacterial SSU rRNA
Rfam family: Bacterial small subunit ribosomal RNA
Source: RNAcentral